RNAcentral lists this long non-coding RNA (985 nucleotides) under Ursus maritimus (polar bear). RNAcentral describes it as "lncRNA (ENSUMAG00000018545.1)". The record is from RNAcentral. Lineage: Eukaryota; Metazoa; Chordata; Mammalia; Carnivora; Ursidae.
GCUUUUCUAGUCUCCUUUAAAUUGGUAGCAGCAGCUCUGCCAUCUGCCCACUCCAAGGGCUUCUCCUAACCCUCUCCUCCUGGCAUUGCCUAAUGGCUGUCAGCAUUGGAAACCAGUCUUACCAGUUCCUGAGCUGCCAGCCACCUUCUUCAAGUGUCUGGACCAUAGGCCCUUCUCCUAGAAGCUGGCCUGCAGGGAAUUAGCAAGGAUCUGUGCCGGAGGGCAACUCUGCAGGCCUGGCCAGAGGUAGACACCACGGACCCGGAGAAGACACUGAAUGGUCAGGGCUCCACUGAGACCCACAGUCACAUCACACAGGCCCUUUACUGGGAGAGCCAAGCCCUUCCCAGAACAGUUCACGAGCUUCAGGCCUUAAAUCUCAGCUGGAGCUUUUCAGCUCUAGUUUUUCCUCCCAGUUAUUUAUCUUCCCUCUGUGGCUUCAGGCAGGUCACCCUGCGGUGCUGCCGUGCCCCCCUCUUUGCGAAACAGAGGAGAUUACUACUGACUUCCCGAUGAAUCAUCAUCCUAGAUGUUCCCAGCCAACCACAGAUGCCGACGAAGCCAGGAUGGUGCCUCCCUCCGCUGCAUGCCCUGGGAUCAGCUGAGCUGAAUAAAUCACAUUUGUUGCUGAGUAUCAUGCUGGGGAGUUUGCGUGGAGAACAGCCCAGCAGAGCUGCUAUACUGUCACCCUCUUUUUGGCUUUCUGUGGUUUCGGUGCCUGUACACACAUGUCCAUGGGGAGAAAAUGACAUCUGCAUGUAUCACACACUCUCCCCAGCACGGCUUCUGCUGAGGUCGGUGGCUUCAUCACCGAGGGAAGGCUGGCUCCAUGAAAGCUGUGUUGAGUUUUACAGAACUUCUGGAAAACCUAGACCACUAGCUGUCAUGCUGUAACCUGUGUACCUUUACAUCUGUUUUGACCCUAAAUUCACAAACCUAAAAUUUAAGGCAAAUAAAUCAUGAAACAUAAGCUUGCGUGAAGACA